This 946-nucleotide ribosomal RNA is filed under the name Metarhizium brunneum. RNAcentral's name for it is "partial large subunit ribosomal RNA". It matches the Rfam family "Eukaryotic large subunit ribosomal RNA", at positions 24 to 986 of the family's 3401-position model. Lineage: Eukaryota; Fungi; Ascomycota; Sordariomycetes; Hypocreales; Clavicipitaceae. The record is from RNAcentral.
UGUUUUCCCCCCGGCGGACUUAGCAUAUCAAUAAGCGGAGGAAAAGAAACCAACAGGGAUUGCCCCAGUAACGGCGAGUGAAGCGGCAACAGCUCAAAUUUGAAAUCUGGCCCCUAGGGCCCGAGUUGUAAUUUGCAGAGGAUGCUUUUGGCGAGGUGCCUUCCGAGUUCCCUGGAACGGGACGCCAUAGAGGGUGAGAGCCCCGUCUGGUUGGACGCCGAGCCUCUGUAAAGCUCCUUCGACGAGUCGAGUAGUUUGGGAAUGCUGCUCUAAAUGGGAGGUAUAUGUCUUCUAAAGCUAAAUAUUGGCCAGAGACCGAUAGCGCACAAGUAGAGUGAUCGAAAGAUGAAAAGCACUUUGAAAAGAGAGUUAAAUAGUACGUGAAAUUGUUGAAAGGGAAGCGCUUAUGACCAGACUUGGGCCCGGUGAAUCAUCCAGCGUUCUCGCUGGUGCACUUUGCCGGUGCCCAGGCCAGCAUCAGUUUGCCCCGGGGGAUAAAGGCUUUGGGAAUGUGGCUCCCUAGGGAGUGUUAUAGCCCAUUGCAUAAUACCCUGUGGCGGACUGAGGUUCGCGCAUCUUGCAAGGAUGCUGGCGUAAUGGUCAUCAGCGACCCGUCUUGAAACACGGACCAAGGAGUCGUCUUCGUAUGCGAGUGUUCGGGUGUCAAACCCCUACGCGUAAUGAAAGUGAACGCAGGUGAGAGCUUCGGCGCAUCAUCGACCGAUCCUGAUGUUCUCGGAUGGAUUUGAGUAAGAGCAUACGGGGCCGGACCCGAAAGAAGGUGAACUAUGCCUGUAUAGGGUGAAGCCAGAGGAAACUCUGGUGGAGGCUCGCAGCGGUUCUGACGUGCAAAUCGAUCGUCAAAUAUGGGCAUGGGGGCGAAAGACUAAUCGAACCUUCUAGUAGCUGGGUUUCCCGCAGAAUUCCCCUCCUCCCCGGAGUAUAA